CGCCUUUUGAACUACAAACAUAAAAGGUCCUGCCUGCCCAGUGACACUUGUUUCAACGGCCGCGGUAUCAUGACCGUGCAAAGGUAGCGUAAUCACUUGUCUUUUAAAUAAAGACCAGUAUGAAUGGCAAGACGAAACCUAACUGUCUCCCUAAGUUAGUCAAUAAAAUUGAUCUUCCCGUGCAGAAGCGGGAAUAAUAAUAUAAGACGAGAAGACCCUGUGGAGCUUCAAACUUAAACUAACAAACUAUAAAUGCCUUAGCACAAGUUUUGGGUUGGGGCGACCAUGAGGUAAAAUAUAACCCUCAAGACAAAAACUAAGAAGGACACUUCAAAUAAAUAAAAUAAUGUAAUUGACCCAAUAAUUGAUCAACGGACCAAGUUACCCCAGGGAUAACAGCGCAAUCUACUCAAAGAGCCCUUAUCGAAGAGCAGGUUUACGACCUCGAUGUUGGAUCAGGACUCCCAAAUAAUGCAACAGUUAUUAAAGGUUCUUUGUUCAACGAUUAAAGUCCU
This 515-nucleotide ribosomal RNA is filed under the name Pseudoeurycea juarezi. RNAcentral describes it as "partial 16S ribosomal RNA". It matches the Rfam family "Bacterial large subunit ribosomal RNA", at positions 1816 to 2597 of the family's 2925-position model. Lineage: Eukaryota; Metazoa; Chordata; Amphibia; Caudata; Plethodontidae. The record is from RNAcentral.